GAUGAACGCUGGCGGCGUGCUUAACACAUGCAAGUCGAACGAGAAGUGAAGACGGAAACCUUCGGGCGGAAGGCUUUAUUUCGAGUGGCGGACGGGUGAGUAACGCGUGGGUAACCUGCCUCAUACAGGGGGAUAACAGUUGGAAACGACUGUUAAUACCGCAUAAGACCACAGCACCGCAUGGUGCGGGGGUAAAAACUCCGGUGGUAUGAGAUGGACCCGCGUUCGAUUAGCCAGUUGGCGGGGUAACGGCCCACCAAAGCGACGAUCGAUAGCCGAGCUGAGAGGAUGACCGGCCACAUUGGGACUGAGACACGGCCCAAACUCCUACGGGAGGCAGCAGUGGGGAAUAUUGCACAAUGGGGGAAACCCUGAUGCAGCGACGCCGCGUGAGUGAAGAAGUAUUUCGGUAUGUAAAGCUCUAUCAGCAGGGAAGAAAAUGACGGUACCUGAGUAAGAAGCCCCGGCUAACUACGUG
This 478-nucleotide ribosomal RNA is filed under the name uncultured bacterium. RNAcentral describes it as "partial 16S ribosomal RNA". It matches the Rfam family "Bacterial small subunit ribosomal RNA", at positions 28 to 507 of the family's 1533-position model. The record is from RNAcentral.